This 405-nucleotide ribosomal RNA is filed under the name uncultured Gammaproteobacteria bacterium. RNAcentral's name for it is "bacterial SSU rRNA". It matches the Rfam family "Bacterial small subunit ribosomal RNA", at positions 9 to 416 of the family's 1533-position model. Lineage: Bacteria; Pseudomonadati; Pseudomonadota; Gammaproteobacteria. The record is from RNAcentral.
GAGUUUGAUCAUGGCUCAGAGUGAACGCUGGCGGCAGGCCUAACACAUGCAAGUCGAGCGGCAGCGCGGGGGCAACCCUGGCGGCGAGCGGCGGACGGGUGAGGAAUGCGUCGGAAUCUGCCUCUUUGUGGGGGAUAACGUAGGGAAACUUACGCUAAUACCGCAUACGACCUAUGGGUGAAAGUGGGGGACCGCAAGGCCUCACGCAGAGAGAUGAGCCGACGCCGGAUUAGCUAGUUGGCGGGGUAAAGGCCCACCAAGGCGACGAUCCGUAGCUGGUCUGAGAGGAUGAUCAGCCACACUGGAACUGAGACACGGUCCAGACUCCUACGGGAGGCAGCAGUGGGGAAUAUUGGACAAUGGGCGCAAGCCUGAUCCAGCCAUGCCGCGUGUGUGAAGAAGGCC